This 943-nucleotide ribosomal RNA is filed under the name Rhodofomes cajanderi. RNAcentral's name for it is "partial large subunit ribosomal RNA". It matches the Rfam family "Eukaryotic large subunit ribosomal RNA", at positions 38 to 967 of the family's 3401-position model. Lineage: Eukaryota; Fungi; Basidiomycota; Agaricomycetes; Polyporales; Fomitopsidaceae. The record is from RNAcentral.
GCAUAUCAAUAAGCGGAGGAAAAGAAACUAACAAGGAUUCCCCUAGUAACUGCGAGUGAAGCGGGAAAAGCUCAAAUUUAAAAUCUGGCGGUCUUUGGCCGUCCGAGUUGUAGUCUGGAGAAGUGCUUUCCGCGCUGGACCGUGUACAAGUCUCUUGGAACAGAGCGUCAUAGAGGGUGAGAAUCCCGUCUUUGACACGGACUACCAGUGCUUUGUGAUGCGCUCUCAAAGAGUCGAGUUGUUUGGGAAUGCAGCUCAAAAUGGGUGGUAAAUUCCAUCUAAAGCUAAAUAUUGGCGAGAGACCGAUAGCGAACAAGUACCGUGAGGGAAAGAUGAAAAGCACUUUGGAAAGAGAGUUAAACAGUACGUGAAAUUGCUGAAAGGGAAACGCUUGAAGUCAGUCGCGUUGAUCAGGACUCAGCCUUGCUUUUGCUUGGUGCAUUUUCUGGUUGACGGGCCAGCAUCGAUUUUGAUCGCCGGAAAAAGGCUGGGGGAAUGUGGCACCUUCGGGUGUGUUAUAGCCUUCAGUCACAUACGGCGGUUGGGAUCGAGGACCGCAGCACGCCUUUAUGGCCGGGGUUCGCCCACGUUCGUGCUUAGGAUGCUGGCGUAAUGGCUUUAAACGACCCGUCUUGAAACACGGACCAAGGAGUCUAACAUGCCUGCGAGUGUUUGGGUGGUAAACCCGAGCGCGUAAUGAAAGUGAAAGUUGAGAUCCCUGUCAUGGGGAGCAUCGACGCCCGGACCUGAACUUCGGUGAUGGCUCUGCGGUAGAGCAUGUAUGUUGGGACCCGAAAGAUGGUGAACUAUGCCUGAAUAGGGUGAAGCCAGAGGAAACUCUGGUGGAGGCUCGUAGCGAUUCUGACGUGCAAAUCGAUCGUCAAAUUUGGGUAUAGGGGCGAAAGACUAAUCGAACCAUCUGGUAGCUGGUUCCUGCCGAAGU